UACGUAGGGGGCAAGCGUUGUCCGGAUUUAUUGGGCGUAAAGAGCGUGUAGGCGGCCAGAUAGGUCCGUUGUGAAAACUGGAGGCUUAACCUCCAGCUGUCGAUGGAAACCAUCUGGCUAGAGUCCGGAAGAGGAGAGUGGAAUUCCUGGUGUAGCGGUGAAAUGCGCAGAUAUCAGGAAGAACACCGAUGGCGAAGGCAGCUGCCUGGCCUGACACUGACGCUGAGGUGCGAAAGCGUGGGGAGCGAACGGG
RNAcentral lists this ribosomal RNA (253 nucleotides) under uncultured bacterium. Its description in RNAcentral is "partial 16S ribosomal RNA". It matches the Rfam family "Bacterial small subunit ribosomal RNA", at positions 524 to 776 of the family's 1533-position model. The record is from RNAcentral.